AACGCUGGCGGUGUGCUUAACACAUGCAAGUCGACGAGAAUUUAUCUCGGAUAAUAGUAAAGUGGCGAACGGGUGAGUAACGCGUAAAUAACUUGCCUUGGAGAUUGGGACAACAUUGGGAAACCAGUGCUAAUACCAAAUAAUGCAGCGGGCCCUUCGGGGCAUAGUUGUUAAAGUAGGCUUCGGCUUACACUUCAAGAUAGAUUUGCGUCCGAUUAGUUAGUUGGUAGGGUAAUAGCCUACCAAGACCGAGAUCGGUAGCUGGUCUGAGAGGAUGAUCAGCCACACUGGAAUUGAGAUACGGUCCAGACUCCUACGGGAGGCAGCAGUGAGGAAUUUUGCACAAUGGGCGAAAGCCUGAUGCAGCAACACCGCGUGAUUGAUGAAGUUUUUAGGAAUGUAAAAAUCUGUCGUAAGGGAAGAAAUGUUUCGGAUGUUAAUACCAUCUGUUACUGACGGUACCUUACAAGAAAGGACCGGCUAACUUCGUGCCAGCAGCCGCGGUAAUACGAGGGGUCCUAGCGUUGUCCGGAUUUACUGGGCGUAAAGGGUACGUAGGCGUUUUAAUAAGUUGUAUGUUAAAUAUCUUAGCUUAACUAAGAAAGUGCAUACAAAACUGUUAAGAUAGAGUUUGAGAGAGGAACGCAGAAUUCAUGGUGGAGCGGUGACAUGCGUAGAUAUCAUGAGGAAAGUCAAAUGCGAAGGCAGCCUUCUGGCUCAAAACUGACGCUGAGGUACGAAAGCGUGGGGAGCGAACAGGAUUAGAUACCCUGGUAGUCCACGCCGUAAACGAUGAGUAUUUGGUGCUGGGGGAUUCGACCCUUUCAGUGCCGUAGCUAACGCGAU
This 846-nucleotide ribosomal RNA is filed under the name uncultured bacterium. Its description in RNAcentral is "bacterial SSU rRNA". It matches the Rfam family "Bacterial small subunit ribosomal RNA", at positions 32 to 861 of the family's 1533-position model. The record is from RNAcentral.